Long non-coding RNA from Helianthus annuus (common sunflower), 425 nucleotides. RefSeq lists it as uncharacterized. Lineage: Eukaryota; Viridiplantae; Streptophyta; Magnoliopsida; Asterales; Asteraceae. The record is from RefSeq and is a predicted model, not a curated record. The transcript is spliced from 3 exons.
GAUCCAUCUUUCUAAGCGUGCUUAGGGUUUUUCAAUUCUUUUCCUCCAUUUUCAAUCGUAGCCGCCUGUCCUUCGUCUGUAAAUCUUCGAUCUUUCGAUGCCGCUCCACAAUUAGGGUUUCUUCUUCUUCAAUGUCUCUGUUGAUCCUCCAUCUCUGUGUGUCCUUAUUUUCAUUAUAAAGUUUUCGAUGGAUUAUCCGUAUUGCUAUCAGUUCAAUCUUAAUAGAUCUGUGUUGAAGGAUGUGCGAACAGAGAUCUAGGGUUAGAUCUGGCAAAAGUUUUGGAUGAUUUUGGAUCUGUUAUUGUGUUAGGAGUUUUCUUUUCAAUGUAUGAAUCUGGUUCGUCAAUCAAAGGGGUAUACUUCUUAUUUGGGAAGAUAAUUGAUUAUCUCGCAGUCAAUCAAGGUAUGUUUAUGUGUAGUUUUUU